AUUGCAUCACCAUCACAGCUCCAUAGCCUUGGUGGCGCUCCAUUGCAGCCCGGAGAAGGUCCAUUGCGGCACUGACGGUGCGGCAAAAGCCCCAACGCAGCCUGACAAAGCUCCAUUGCAGCGUCCACGAAGCUCCAUUGCAGCGCUGACAGUGCGGCAAGAGCUCCAACACAGCGUGACAAAGCUCCAUUGACGUUGGUUGCAACAUCUCCAGUCGACGCCGGUUGUAGCCGUGGUGAGCUUUACGCAAUAGCAGCAGCCUCUACUUUGCAGAGAUUAUUGCUAGCACAAGCACCUCCACUGGCAGCAUCGGAGCGGCUGGACGACGGAAGCUUCACAGCAGGACGCGGCAACCAUGGGAGAAAAAUGACAUGUGAACACCACGAGUGCGUCGCGCCGGACAUCGCUUUGAAGCCCUACGAG
RNAcentral lists this long non-coding RNA (423 nucleotides) under Hordeum vulgare. RNAcentral describes it as "long non-coding RNA (HVUL_LNC011529)". Lineage: Eukaryota; Viridiplantae; Streptophyta; Magnoliopsida; Poales; Poaceae. The record is from RNAcentral.